This 70-nucleotide transfer RNA is filed under the name Loxodonta africana (African savanna elephant). It matches the Rfam family "tRNA". Rfam says of the family: Transfer RNA (tRNA) molecules are approximately 80 nucleotides in length. The record is from Rfam by way of RNAcentral. Lineage: Eukaryota; Metazoa; Chordata; Mammalia; Proboscidea; Elephantidae.
GCAGUGAUGGCUCAGUGGUAGAGUGCUUGCCUCCCAUGCAGGAGACUGGGUUAAAUUCCCGGCCAUUACA